RNAcentral lists this microRNA (21 nucleotides) under Populus trichocarpa (black cottonwood). RNAcentral describes it as "ptc-miR6473". The record is from miRBase by way of RNAcentral. Lineage: Eukaryota; Viridiplantae; Streptophyta; Magnoliopsida; Malpighiales; Salicaceae.
UCCACAAUCCCAUCAAGACUU